Zonotrichia albicollis (white-throated sparrow) is the source of this 7460-nucleotide non-coding RNA. The record is from RefSeq and is a predicted model, not a curated record. Lineage: Eukaryota; Metazoa; Chordata; Aves; Passeriformes; Passerellidae.
CACCCAUCUGCAUUCUGUGCUCACCUCUUUCACCCUGUAGCAUCCAGAGCUAAGCUGCUUGGUAUUGGUGGGAGCAGGAAGGUGGCAGAGGAGCUGGGUGCUGCCCUGGGAGCUGCCUCUGAUUUAUCACUGCCCAUUUGACACCCGUGGUUGCUGUGAGGAGGAUGCAGCCACUGGCUGUAUCCCAGCAGGAGGCUGGGAAUGUAUUGCACUUGCAAGGUCUCCAAGAUAACCCUCCUGUUCCUGUCACCCUCACUGGGAGUUCAGGGACUAUUUUCCAGGACUUGCCAGGGCCUGUGACUCAGGUGGCUGCUUCUGCCCUGUUGCUGUACCCGCACUGGCUCCCAGCCUUGAUGCUGCUGGGGUGUGGGGUGUGGGGCCUGGCCCCUGGUUUUGUAACCAGUGGGUUGUCAAAACCACAUCUGCUGUCAAGAGACUGGCUCUAGGAGUAGGGGACUGCUGUGGGACACAGGAGAUGACUUCUUGCAGCCAAGAACUAAAGCCCUGGGGGUUUCUAUCUGCUAAGCAAUUGUCCUACCCCAGCUGGGACACCCAGAGGCCAACACCCAGGCUCUGCCAGCCACUAUUGUACUCAUCUCCUGGGGGCUUCACCCACCUUCUUCCAGUGCAGACCCUGCCUUGUCCCUGAUCACAAAGCAUCGGAGAGCAGACCAGCUUGUUCAGAAUCCUGUGAUACUCAGCCAGCGUGCCAUGUGCUGGACACUGGGGGGCCCAGCUGUGCCCCACAUCCCUGUCGAGCCCAUGGAUGCUCCUCCAGGGGUGUGGGGGAGGUCGAUGGAGUGCGAUCACGGGAGUGCCCGCGGGAUGUGGGAUGUGUAUCCCCGGGUGCAGGCGACACAGAGCACCGGGGGCAUGGAGUGCUGGGGACACAAGACACGUGCAGGGGGCUGUGGGACAUGGACAUCGAUACACAGCAGCAUCCAGGUGCGGGUCUCCGUGCGGGGCCGGGGCCGAGGGCGGCUCCCGGUGAGUCACGGCUGCCUCACGCUCCUCCCCGCGCCGCCUCAUAAAGAGCCGCUGUGCCGAGCCGAGCCGACCCGAGCGCAGUGCCCGACCGCGGACUGUCCGUAUGUACCGGAGCGCUGGGCGGACAGCCUUGGGGGGCACCGGCCGCCACCUGAGUGACCGCGGGAGGAGGAUGCUGGGGGAUAAGGGAUAUCCCACACUCGGGGGGUGCUGGACGGAUGCGAGGGUACGGGAUCGUCGCCUUGCGGAGUCCUGGGGGGACCAUGCUGGGUUACCACGGCCAGCUGGGAGGAUGCUGAGAGGACGGACCGUCCCAGGCUCAGAGCCCCUGGGAAGCCCUGCCUGGGUCCUCCUGCUCUGCUGGAGCCUGGCUGCUUGCUGCACAGGUGCCAUGGCCUUGCAGCCGCCCAGCAUCACCGCCCUGCGGAUGCCAGCAGAGCUUCCUCGCCCAGGUGAGAGUGUGACUGUGUCAUGUGAAGCACUGAGUGAGCUUCCAGAGAUGACGCUGCUCUACUGGCUGGAGAACGGCUUCUUCGUGGAGAGCCUGCACCCCGACGGGGCUGUACGUGAGGGGACAGUGCAAGUCUCGGGAGUGCGGAGACCAAAGCUUCGGAUCAACAGGAAGCCUCAGGUGAACUGGAUGCAUGUCAUAGGAGAUCAAAGACCUAACAUGGUUUGUGCUGUUAUGAUGCCUAAGGCAAAGCCUCUGCAGACAAAGGUCAGUGUUUGCAACUGAGUGCCAGAGAUCCUUCACAAUUUAUUAUUCCUACAACACAAGAGCAGUUUGAAUGGUGUUUUGCUAACUGUACAGCCUUGCAAAGUGCUUUGCAAAAUUUUUCUGACACCUCGGGAGGCUGUCCUGAAGGGCAAAGGAACCCAGGAAGGCUGGAUGUGCUGUAAGAAGGAAUCUUCAGGGCACAGAAGCAGGCUACGCUGAAAGAAGAGCCAGAGGGAGGGGAACUUUGUCUGGAACUCAGAGUAAAAAGGAUAGUUUAUAAUAUUUGAAAAAAGGGGCAGCAAGUCAGGAAAUAAACAAGGAUGUGAUGAGGCAGAGAGAAUACAAGAAGAACGGAAGCUCAUCUGGCCACUGCUGUAAAAGACAAUAAAACAAAUGUGUCUAUAAAUACAUUAACCACAAAAUGAGGGCUAAGGAGAAUCUCCUUUACUGGAUGGCUGGGGAAAUCUAGAGACAAAUAAUGAAGAAAAGUCUCAGGUACCUUGAAAGGUGGUGGAGCAGACCAUCCUGAGUGCCAUAAUUUGGCACGUGCAGAACAACCAGGGAUCAGGCCCAGCCAACAUGGGUCUGUGAAAGACAACCUGGCUUGACCAACCUGGCUUUUGUGACAAGAUGACCUGCUUGGUGGGUUGAACAAGCCAGGUGACCUCAGCCGUUCCUCUUAUGACCUUCCAGUUACUCCCUCCAGUUGGAUGACAAACCCAUCUGCUGGCAUCCAGAGAAAGAAGGCUCUUAAGAAGGGGGGUAAAUAAGAGAGAAACAUUUAACAGCUUGUAUUUUUAUGAAUGAGGCUGUCUCUCUCCCUUUCCAGUAACUCUUCAUAGCAGGUAUUUGUGUUUCAAAUUUGUUGCUUUGUAAUUGAGGUGAAGUAACAGAUUCUGCAGUUUGCCUUUCAUGUGUUGCCAUUGUUUAUACACUGUAUCUGCAUGCUGAAGGUAAUAAUCAAUAGUUCUAUGAAUAAUAACCACAAGGAACGGUGGAGUGAUUUUCCUCCAUUUUGCAAAGACUCCUUUAGGCAAAUCUUAAAAGAGGACAGGAAUUUUCAUGGGAAUUAUUCCAGCUGACAGGAUUUGAGACAUUUUAUUUAGUUAAAACUGCUGAGAAGAGCAUUGGAAAAGAAGUCUCAAGGAAAGAGCAUCUAGGACCUCAGUUUUAUUCUGCCAUUUAAUUUAUAAAUAAAGUCAGUGAUACAGUAAGGACAAACUAAAGUAAAUUUACUAUUUCUAUAUAGCUCUGGAGUCUCAAUGGCAAUGAUAACAUUCACUAUCUGAGUGAACAGAGCUGAGACUUUCUGCCCCAAGGUGCUCUGCUCCCGAGUUCCAUUCUCCAUCUGCUUAGUGACCACUAAUAUUUCAUACCAGUUUUUUGAUCUUGCAACUUUCUGCUCUAACUUUUCUCCCCUAAUUUAGGAUCUGAACAAUAGAAAAUCAGGUGCUACUAUAGACUGUAAUUUUCGCAUUAUGUUUUGGGAUUAGGUAAUAUUUAGUUUCAUGUAAUGUUUAACUUGAACUUUUGUCCAGGUCACGUUAGAAAGGUACUGGGAAGUAACCAAAAUUGCUGUAAAACUUUAUUUCCUAACAUUCACUCAGUGUAAGUGCCCCUGUUCCAGGGAGUAGUUGGUUUGACAUACAAAAAAGAAAAUUUAAAAAGGUCUUUAAAAAAUAAAUGUAAGUACUUUAGUAUUGAAGUGCUCAGCUUGAGCCACCAAAGGUAGCUCUGGUUUUUGGACAGUGCUGACCACCCAUCCUUGGGACACCUGGCUUCCCAGAAGUUUGUCCCUUUCUCAGGACACAUGAAUAAACAGGGCUUUGACUGUGCAUACCUUACAAUUACAAAAGUACUUCUUGUAUGAAAGUACAAUUGUGUAUUUGUGAGCCUGCACAUUCAUGCUUUAUGCAUGGAUAUAGACUUGUGGGGUUUUUUUUGAAUACUUGGACUUUAAAUCCCAGGGAGCACAACUCCACCAAUCAUUCUACCUUACAUCUGUGCAAAACAGUUCUUUCCUCACGUGCUGGUAAAGCUUUAUAACACUUCCUUCUCUCUUUUCAUUUAUGUAAAUGCUUAUCCUGAUGCAAUUCAAGUGUGAAUACCCAGGUCAGUGUGUGUCUGCCUUCCCAGACAGCAUGCACUGUGCACACCUCCAAGCUGAAAUAGCGCCAGGUGUGUUCUGGCAAAGCAAAUCCUGCCACUCAUCCUGACCCUCUACUCUUUAUUAGGAAAAGUGCAGGCUGCAUGUAUGAAACACAGCACGAAAAUGAAAUUCUUGUACAUGCUUUCUUUCUGCCCUCUCAGGGUUGGGAAUAACCAGGUUGUGACCUUCAUCUGGGGGGAAAAGGGAGAUAUCACCACUCCCAAUUCUUUGGGAGGAGAGGGUUUCCUCCUUUCUCUUGAGUUUUCUUCUGUUAUUCUGACUCCCUGCAGUUCCAUGUCACAGCCUUCCCUGCUGUAACAUUUGCCUCUGCUGUGGACAGAAGCUCUACAGAGGAUGGACAGGCUUGAGGAUUUUACAGAGAUGUUUAUAGAUGAAUUGCCUCUCCUGAAGUCUGUGUACACCUGAAAAUCAAAAUACCCAUACAGUUAACAUUUCAAGGGUCAGUGUGUUGUUCAAGUUCGGUGCUAUAGUAUUGCCUAUUUUAUCUUGCAUUUUUAUCUUGCUGGGAAGGAAUUUGUUGCACUACCCUUGAGCACUCCACCUCUACAACCCAAUGCCGGUAGCCCAGGCUUCAGCUGCACAAGCACACACAAAUAUAAUUUUCAAGCUAUUGACAACAAGAAUGAACCAUGCAGCAGCCUGAAAGGCUGUAGAACUUUGAUCACAAACUUAUUUGCCUCAAUUUAUUUAUGGACUAACUAAAUAAGUACAGUAUUUGUUUAAGCAAAGAGACUGAAAACAAAAUUCCUCUCAUCAGCCCACUUAGGGAAUUCCUAAAAUUCCCAUGGAAUAAAACCAGCAAAUCCAGCAUUUUGUUUUCCUUAAGACCACGGUCUCCCUAGGGCUUUCUGAUCAGAUUAUGUAGCUAGUCAGAUUAGGUUUAUUCAGGGACUGACUCAUUGCAUUUUCCUGUAAUCUUGUAUUUUAACACCUGCUCAGUUUAAAAUGCCAUUUUAAUCUAAAUUAGAUGGUUUUUCUAUUAAUCCUGUGUGCAUUACUCAAGAUUUAAACUCUUCUUUGCUUAAUACACCACUUUCAGAUAGGCAUAUGUUAGCACAAGUGAUGAAUGAGGGGUUUAAUUAGUUUUUUUCUGAAGAAAGAAUGGAAGAUAACAAUUUUAUAGGCUUGGAACUUCCAUUGAAUUGGGUAAAUAUUCCUUGUGACAGUAGCAUUCUCAUACACAAUUGUCAAAGGCUUUUUAUUGCUUUUUUGCAGUUUUCUUAAUACACAGACCUGCAAUUAGAGGGAAAAAAAAAGUGGAAUUAUCAAAGCAGAUUAAAAAACCCUGAAAUGAUGCUACUACUAAAUAAACAUUGAAAAUCUUCUUUAGCAGUCAAAACCUGUGAAGCAAAAGGAACAGGGAUGGAAUCUUGUGCUAGAAAACUUUUGGGAUAACACGUAAUAAACCAUGGGCUUCCAUGCUGGAUGGAAGACACACAUCUAAAACUGUGCAUGGCUGAAACAAUCAAACAAAUAAUUUGCUGCUAUUUAUAUCUAGUCUGAUUUUCAUUGAGAGGCCCCCCACUCAGGACAAAACAAUGAACAAAUAAUUUACUACAUUUAGAUCACUCAAAAUAGUUUUUUUUCAGAAGCAGGUUUUUGCUACUAGAAGUAAGUAUUUCCCUAAAAUAAUUGGUAUUUUUGCUUGUGCCUAAGCAGAGGAUGCAGCUUCCCUUCUCCCCUCUCUAUUGCAGAGAUUCCAGCUGCAAAGCAGCAGUGGCCUUAUCCCUCCCAGGCCAGCACUGCAGGCUGCAGGUAGCUUCUGGCAUCCAGUUUUCAAUCACUUUUGGUGUGCAAAUGUGCUACCAGUUUUAUUACUCCAGCCACUUUCAAGCAUUGAUGAACACUGGGUAUAAGGUUGGACAAAAUAAUGGUCUAAUCCAGCUGUCUUGAACAAUUAUAUGGAAAUAAAAUAAAAACCAGCUCCCUCUUAGCUUGAGCUUCUGUAGACAAAGGAGUUUGGAGUUAUUCUUUUCAUCAGAAUAGAUGCAUAAAAGCAGGUAGGUUUUGGUUACCCAUCAGUGAGUGAAGAGCAUCCAGAUAAUUUGCCAAGUUCAGAUUUGAAAUCCUAUUCUUGUUUCCUGGGUUCCUGAGUUCAAAAGUCUUCUAAGAUAAACUAGAAAGCUGAAAAAGUCUUCUAUGACUUUUACAGAACUUCUAUACCUGCUACAUUACAUAAAGACGUCAAAUAGCUUAUGGAAGCCAGUUGUAAAAUCCAUUGUUUCAGGUGGAUGGGACUUUGAAUAGUUGUACUGAUUAUACUGGAAGUCUAGCUAAAUUUUACUGAAAAAUUAGGGAAGAGAAGAAAGUAUACCCACCAGUUUUCUGAGAAAAUUGCAUAGAAAAUCUUGACAUUUAGCAUAAUCUGCUGCAUUCUUUGCAUUUCUAUAGGUUAUGCCUAAAACUAUUUUGGUGAGUUCAAGAGAUAAAUUAUCUCUGUUAAGGGAAGUGGGUAAUGCUCAGAGAGCGACCAUGGUGGAAAGAUGCACCACACACACCAUAUUCUCCAGCUUUCUGAAAUAUUUCAUUUUUAAAUUUUGGAGAUGAUGGAGAACAGAACUACAACAGGCAAGAAAAUCAUUCCAUAUUUUAUUUCAUCUUAAUGGUAAUAUUGCAAAAAAGGGCUCUGCAUAUCUCCAAGAGCCCUGCUGAAAGCAAUUCUCCCAUUCCUAAAAAUUAAAGCAAAUAAUUUUCAAGUCUUAAGCCAUGGAAACAGCAAUGUGAUUUGAUUAAGACCCAUAUAAUGCAUAUUUUUCUGAGGAUAGUUGUUAGCUUAAGAAAAGAUGCAUUGCAGGUGACUUUGACACUUCACAGACAUACAAGUCUGAAUAUAUAUUUAACUUCUUGCAUAUCCCUCACCAAAGCCACACAGAAACUAAAUCCUGAGAACCGGAUAGAAAUGUUUCUGAUUUGCAGGGAACAGAGAAGAACAGAUGUAUUUCUGGAGUUUAAAUUUCCUGGAAUGCCAGAAUUUAGACUUUUGUUUGGAUUCAGAUGGAUGGAGCCCAAACGUUAUCUGCUAAGCUAAACCUGAUUGGUUGGCUGCAAACCAGUAGAGAACUUGAAAGGUUCUCCACUCUUCAGGUACUGAGAAAAAAGAGUUAAAACUGAUGAGGAUGCAUCAAAGCAUUUUAGUCUAAUGUCUGAUGAAUAUUAAGCCCUCAAAUGUUAAGUGGAAAAAGCAGUAUCACUCCUUUUGACACAGGUGGGAGUUUGAAUCUCUUUUACCUAGUCCAAACUCAUGCUGUCAACAUUGUCUAGGAUUUCUUACAAAUAGUGCUUCCAACACAGAAAAAUCCAAAUAAUUUAAUUUAGCUGUCAAACUGUGUUGAUGUUACAGACUUCUGGUCUAUCACAACUGUUAGUCACUGGGGACUGAGAAAAUGAGCAGUGUGGAGGUCUAGAAAUAGGAUUUCCCAUGUGAUUAAAUGCUUAGAUAGUGGAAACAUUUCUAGCAAUAAUGAUACUACAACAGCUACAGCUUGUGUGAGUCUGACCUUUGGAGUUAAACACCAGCCAGCAGCUGGACUGGAAUUUCUGGUAUGUUCCACAACAUAGAUUAAAUAUUUGAUUUAAAAACUUAAA